Callithrix jacchus (white-tufted-ear marmoset) is the source of this 4528-nucleotide non-coding RNA. Lineage: Eukaryota; Metazoa; Chordata; Mammalia; Primates; Cebidae. The record is from RefSeq and is a predicted model, not a curated record.
UUAGAGCUGUUAUUAACAUAUUAGUAGAAUUGAUUUUAACUUCAAAUUUAUUAUGUUAAAAAUUAUUGAUGAAGUGAGAAAUAUAGGCAAAUAUGUACAGUUAAAUUUAAUAUUUAAUAUAUUUAAGCUUAUAUUUAGUUAUUCAGAGAAUUUGCAUCUUUUUUAGUUCUAAAAAGUCAAAUGAAUUCUUCACUUGUACUCCCAUUGAUCUUAGAAUACCUAUGUUGUGAUAAUUGUGAUAUUGCAAUUAUUGUUUGUAUAUUUCUCUUCAUUUAAAAAAAAAUCUUUCUUAGGGCUUAUUUUAUAUUAAAGGCACCUGGCACAUAGUGCUUGAACAAAUCAUUGCUUUUGUUAUAAUUUUGCAAUAAUGUCAGUAACCAAAAAAUAUUAAUGAUUGUUAUCUCUGGAUGUUUGGAUUACAUUUCAUUUCUGUUUUUCUCUUAUGUAUUUCAAACUUCCUAUAGUCGUGGUUUAGUUACAACAGCUUUAUUAGUUGCUGCACAGACUUUAAACAUCUUUAUUGUUACUCUGAUCUAAUUUUGUCAUAACAUGAGACCAUUACAGAUUUCAGUAGUUUUUCCUGUUGUUUAUGUCUAAUAACUGUAUUUAUUAAUACAUCUGCAAGAUACUGGUCUUUAUUUGGGUAUGAAAUGGUAGGUAUAUGUUUCUACACAUAGUUCUGAUUUACAGAAUAGUUUACAAAUUUUAGGAUUAAAUGAAUUUUAAAUUUCAGUAGUUAUCUUUAUGUCAGAAGGAAAUAACCUAAAUACCAAUGCCACUAAUCUUUUGACAGGCUUUUUUAGAUAUACAACUUUGAAACUUCUACAUUAUAUUGAAACUUCUACAUUAUGUUCUUCAAAAUCUAAUUUUUAAGUCUGAAAAUGCUUAAACUUCAAAAUAAAAUUAUUUCUGAAUUUAACUGUUAAUUUUUAGAAAAACAUACCUUAAACAUGUUUUAUUGCCUACUUGUGCUGGCUCAGUUAGAUGCUGGGAUCAUAAAGGUAUGUGAAGGAGACCCAGCAGCCCCUUCCUUCACUAGGCUGAAAAAGAUAUUAGCAGAGCAUAAACAUGAGUAAAGGCUUAUAGAUUUUCUUCCCAUUUAAAUCUUUUUGUACCUCUAGUAAUUCCAGUGAAUGUACCCUGGUUAUUAGAAUUGGGCUUUGUGAACCUAUUACCUUAUUAGUAAUUAAUAACUAAAAAUUGAGUAUCCCAGGCAUGGGCUUAGCAUUAUAUAGUAUAUGUUUUUACAUAUUACUGAAGUAAAUUCUCAUUAUAUUCUGCAUUUAAGAUAAAUUAUAUUACCUUCAUUUUAACGACAGGGAAACAGGUUUGGAAAAGUUAAAUAAUUAAUCCACAAUUAUAUAACUAGAAUAGUAAUUCAAAUGGACAUCUGUGUAUAUCCAGUGACAAAGCUCUUAACUACUAUCCAUAUUACCUUCCUUACCAGUCAGAUCCAAGCUUAUUCUAACAGGAAGGGAUUAAGAUCCACAGAGCUAAAGCUUAUUAGAAGUAAAACUAGAAGUGGAGCCCUGAUAUUGGGAUUUCCUUUCUUUCUAUUCUACUUUCUACCUCUACUUUCCUACUGUACUUGUCUUAUUUAAGUAUCAGAGUAUAUAUAUUGCAAAAGCAUGGAUUUGUUUUUAACUUAUUGGUAUGAACUAUUACUUACAGAUAUUUGAGAUGAUAAGUGCAAGAAUAUAGAAACAGAGGACAAAUUGUGACUUGAUCUCUUGUAAGCAUUAUACUUUUAUAACUAUAGUCAUCCCUCAGUAUCCAUGGGGGAUUGGUUCCAGCGCACCCCCCCACCCUAAGGAUACCAAAAUCCAUGGAUACUGAAGUGCCUUGUAUAAAAUGGCACAGAGUUUGCAUAUACCUAUGCAUAUCCUCCCUUAUACUUUAAAUCAUCUGAAUGUAAAUGCUAUGUAAAUAGUUGUUAUGCUACAUUUUUUUAGGGAAUAAUGACAAGGGGGAAAAGUCUAUACAUGUUCAGUACAGAGGAAACCAUCUUUUUUCUUUUCUUUUCCUUCUUUCUUUUUUUUUUAAAUAGUAACAGGCCCUGCUGUGUUGCCCAGGCUGGCCUUAAACUCCUGGGCUCAAACGAUCCUCCUGCCUCAGCUUCAGAGUAGCUGGGACUACAGUCACAUGCCACCACUGUGCCUGGCUCCUUGGCCAUCUUUAUGUUUUUCUGAAUAUUUUUUAUCUGUGGUUGGUUGAGUCCAUGGAUGCAGAACCCACAGAUACCCAGGGCCGACUGUACACUAUUUGAAUUGUGACCAUAAAUAUUUUGGGGUGGGCUCCCGCUCUCACAGCCAUUGCAGUACAUUGAGCUCCAUAGAGACAGCGCCGGGGCACGAGAGAGCCAGACGGGCACUGGGCAAGUCUGCGCCUCGCUGAGGAAAAAUAACUAAACAUGGGAAAAAGAGAGCCUAAGAAGCCGAGAGGCAAAAUGUCAUCAUAUGCAUUUUUUGUGCAAACUUGUCUGGAGGAGCAUUAGAAGAAGCACCCAGAUGUUUUAGUCAACUUCUCAGAGUUUUCUAAGAAGUGCUCAGAGAGGUGGAAGACCAUGUCUGCUGAAGAAAAAGGAAAAUUUGAAGUUAUGGCAAAGGCAGAUAAGGCCCGUUAUGAGAGAGAAAUGAAAACCUAUAUUCCUCCUAAAGGGGAGACAAAAAAGAAGUUCAAGGAUCCCAGUGCACCCAAGAGGCCUCCUUCGGCCUUUUUCCUGUUCUGCUCUGAGUAUCACCCAAAAAUCAAAGGAGAACAUCCUGGCUUGUCCACUGGUGAUGCUGCGAAGAAACUGGGAGAGAUUUGGAAUAACACUGUGGCAGAUGACAAGCAGCCUUAUGAAAAGAAAGCUGCAAAGCUGACGGAAAAAUACAAAAAGGAUAUUGCUGCAUAUCAAGCCAAUGGAAAGCCUGAUGCAGCCAAAAAACAAGAAAAAGAAGGAAGAGGAGGAAGAUGAGGAAAAUGAAGAGGAUGAGGAGGAAGAGGAAGAUGAAGAAGAUGAAGAUGAAGAAGAUUAUGAUGAUGAAUAAGUUGGUUCUAGCGCAGUUUUGUUUUCUUGUCUAUAAAGCAUUUAACCCCCCUGUACACAACUCACUUCUUUUAAAGAAAAAAAUUGAAAUGUAAGGCUGUGUAAGAUUUGUUUUUAAACUGUACAGUGUCUUUUUUUGUAUAGUUAACACACUACUGAAUGUGUCUUUAGAUAGCCCUGUCCUGGUGGUAUUUUCAAUAGCCACUAACCUUGCCUGGUACAAUAUGGGGUUGUAAAUUGGCAUGGAAAUUUAAAGCAGGUUCUUGUUGGGAACAGCACAAAUUAGUUAUAUAUGGGGGUGGUAGUUUUUUCAUCUUCAGUUGUCUCUGAUGCAGCUUAUACGAAAUAAUUGUUGUUCUGUUAACUGAAUACCACUCUGUAAUUGAAAAAAAAAAAAAAGUUGCAGCUGUUUUGUUGACAUUCUGAAUGCUUCUAAGUAAAUACAAUUUUUUUUAUUAGUAUUGUUGUCCUUUUCAUAGGUCUGAAAUUUUUCUUCUGGAGGGGAAGCUAGUCUUUUUGCUUUUGCCCAUUUUGAAUCACAUGAAUUAUUACAGUGUUUAUCCUUUCAUAUAGUUAGCUAAUAAAAAGCUUUUGUCUACGCAUCCUGCAUAUCAUAAUGGGGGUAAAGAAGAUGAGAUAGUUUUCAUCCAUAACUAAAAAUCCAAAAUCUUGAUCAGUUAAGAAAUUUCACAUAGCUCACUUACAUUUACAAACUGAAGAGUAAUCGAUCUACUCACAGCAUGGGACUGUUAGAAUCAAACAUUUUGAAAGUCUGUCCUUAAAGGGCUAAUAGAAAAGUAUGUUCUAACCUUUACAUGAGGACUCUAUUCUUUAACUCCCAUUACCAUGUAAUGGUAGUUAUAUUUUGCAGUUCCCACAUUAACGAAGACCUGAGAAUGUAUCCCCAAAAGCGUGAGCUUAAAAUACAAGACUGCCCUAUUAAAUUUUUUGUUGACAUUAGUCUCAGUGAAGACUAUGAAAAUGCUGGCUAUAGAUGUGUUUUCCCAUCAAAUAUGGACUGCUCAGGAAACAAGACUUUCCAUUAAAAGUAUUUUUAAUUCAUUGGGCCAGCUUUUAAAAUGAAGAUACCACAUUCAGAAUAGGGUAUAUUUUCCUAUAUUAUGGUUUGCCCCUUUAUAAAUCCAAGUAGAUAGGAGGAAAGAACACACUUAAACUUUGCAUCUGAGUAGGAAUUAUUCGAUUUAUUUGGAUGAUUUUUCUUUAAAACCCAAACUCAUUCAUUCGUCAUGUUUAUCUGCUUACCAGUUUAGGGAACAAUUUGGCAAUUUUGUGGUUUUUGAGAUUAUCGUUUUCUUAAAGUGCCAGUGUUUUAAAAUAACGUUCUUGUAAUUUUACAUGCUUUUGUGAUGGAGUGCUGUUUUGUUAUAUAAUUUUGACUUGGAUUCUUUCUAUUUGCAUUUGUUUAUGUAAUUUCAGCAGGAAUACGGAACAUCUGAGUCCUGGAUGAUACUAAUAAACUAAUAAUUGCAGAGGUUU